Molecule: transfer RNA, 72 nt
Filed under: Hypsiglena jani jani (San Luis Potosi nightsnake)
Lineage: Eukaryota; Metazoa; Chordata; Lepidosauria; Squamata; Dipsadidae
Description: tRNA-Asn
Source: RNAcentral
UAGAUUAAAGUCCGCCGGUUUGGACAGCUAUCUGUUAAUUAGUGUUUGUGGGAUCGAGGCCCGCUAGUCUAG